CAAAGGGAGAAGGGGACGGGAGAGACGUCAAGGGGCGACGGCUCCGGCGGCUUUUCCGGCGAAGGGAUUUGGGGAAAAACGAAGAAGAAGGCUAAGGGAAGACUAAGGAGUGGAUUAAGGGGACGACACGUGUCUGAGCGAUGUCGUACGUCGUAAAGGUUGCUUUGUAAUUGUGAGGUAGGUAUUGGCAUUUAAAUUAAGUUCAUGAAUUUAAAUUAAGUUAAUGUUACACUUUCAAAUGUUAUGACUAUUAAUGAAAUUCACAUGUUAAUGUUUAUGAGUU
This is a long non-coding RNA of Dendrobium catenatum, 283 nucleotides long. RefSeq lists it as uncharacterized. The record is from RefSeq and is a predicted model, not a curated record. The transcript is spliced from 2 exons. NCBI's taxonomy places the organism in Eukaryota, Viridiplantae, Streptophyta, Magnoliopsida, Asparagales, Orchidaceae.